RNAcentral lists this ribosomal RNA (253 nucleotides) under uncultured bacterium. Its description in RNAcentral is "partial 16S ribosomal RNA". It matches the Rfam family "Bacterial small subunit ribosomal RNA", at positions 524 to 776 of the family's 1533-position model. The record is from RNAcentral.
UACGAAGGUCCCAAGCGUUGCUCGGAAUCACUGGGCGUAAAGGGUGCGUAGGCGGGUCUUUAAGUCAGGGGUGAAAUCCUGGAGCUCAACUCCAGAACUGCCUUUGAUACUGAAGAUCUUGAGUUCGGGAGAGGUGAGUGGAACUGCGAGUGUAGAGGUGAAAUUCGUAGAUAUUCGCAAGAACACCAGUGGCGAAGGCGGCUCACUGGCCCGAUACUGACGCUGAGGCACGAAAGCGUGGGGAGCAAACAGG